GGGGCCAUAGCUCAGAUGGGAGAGCGACGCGUUUGCAACGCGUAGGUCGUCGGUUCGAUCCCGACUGGCUCCACCA
RNAcentral lists this transfer RNA (76 nucleotides) under Gammaproteobacteria bacterium. Its description in RNAcentral is "tRNA-Ala". It matches the Rfam family "tRNA". Rfam says of the family: Transfer RNA (tRNA) molecules are approximately 80 nucleotides in length. The record is from RNAcentral. Lineage: Bacteria; Pseudomonadati; Pseudomonadota; Gammaproteobacteria.